This 1203-nucleotide long non-coding RNA is filed under the name Cottoperca gobio. RNAcentral describes it as "lncRNA (ENSCGOG00000007569.1)". The record is from RNAcentral. Lineage: Eukaryota; Metazoa; Chordata; Actinopteri; Perciformes; Bovichtidae.
CUGUGUGGAGGAUUCUUUAUAUUGGUGUCUGAUUGUGAUCUCUUCCUCUGCCAUUUGUCGUUUUUCUUCAGAACUGGGUUGACCAUAUUAACACCGUCAACCACACUGCCGCAUGCAGAGACCUGCGCAACAAGUACCCUGACUGGAAACCAAAUCUACCACGUCGGAGCGGACGAUACGGCAGCCGGGCUCUGUGGGAUCCAAAAGAUCACUCUCCAUCCCAUUCUGUGUCUCCAUCCCUCUCUUGUUCUCCCACCCCAAGUCCUCCUCAAGGCAAUCAGAGGGUGGGCCCCCAUAGACCGCACACAGGGCCUUACUCUCCUCACCAUCAACCUCGCCACCAACACUACACAGGUAGACCGCUUGCUAGAGAGUGGCACAAUGAAUGCCAAUGAUGUUAAUAACAUGACAUGAAUCAUUUGGGUUUUAACAUUGUUAAAUAUUAGCUCUUAAUGUUAGAAAUAAAAGAAGGGAUUUUGUGAUAUUGGUCUAUUCUGUGGAUUUAGAAAGGUCUUUGUUGGCUUUAUUAUCUCUGAUUUCCCAUCCAUUGUUCAUUGUACGCCUUGGUACUGAAGACACAUCAGAUGUAUAAAAAAAAAUAGCAUCAUUGUGUUCUUUUAAAACAGUGAUAUAGUUUUGUAAUGCACAUUGUGAUCGUUAAAUAGCCCAAUGGUUCAUAUAAAUAGGCAGUUUACUAAAUAGUUCAACAUACUUUAUUGCUUCCUUUAUUCUGGGGAUGAAGAGAGGUUAUCCUCAACAGAUUUAUAUGGGCCUUCCUCUCCACGGAUACUACACACAAAUAAGAUUUGGUGCAGGUUAUAAUAAAUAAUUAUCUAGUUCUCAAACAUAGCAAAAUGUGACUGACAUUACUAAUUUCAAUGCAGGGUUACUGUCUGCACUGUGCUUUAUUGGGCAUUGGACUUGGUAACUUGUGACUGAGUACUCAACCAUCUUCAUCUGCUAUCCUCAGAACACAGCCAUCGGUUGGAGAACAGUCCCUCUCGCUCACAUCAAAUCUCCCCAUUCUCCAGAGGGCAUUGGCCUGAGAAGAGAGACAGGGAAUCAUCAGGUAAGUCAUUGUGUAUGAUAUGAUAUAUAUUUAAAGAGUAUUUGUUGGCAUUUUGAGUUUAUUUGAGAGCUGAUGGUGAAGGGAGACAGGAAACAUGGAGAGAAGGAGGGGCUUGACAUGCAACAAGGUUCCCA